Molecule: long non-coding RNA, 301 nt
Filed under: Bos taurus (domestic cattle)
Lineage: Eukaryota; Metazoa; Chordata; Mammalia; Artiodactyla; Bovidae
Description: long non-coding RNA NONBTAT023998
Source: RNAcentral
CACUUGGUUAAAACUAGCUCACAGGUAGGUAGUUGGUGGCUGUAGUUUCCUUGAAAUGCUUGCUGCCAAGCCCUAAUUCCAUUGUCUUCCAAUUAAGUCUACAAUUAAAACUAAUUUCAAUCAUCUCAUUUCAGGACUGUGAAGACAUUUUUAAGAAUAAAUGCAGAAGAAAGCAUAAAAGACUGAAAAAUUUGACUAAGUAAAAGUACAGAAUUUUCUAAAUGUCAAAAACACUAUAAACAAAGUUAAAUGAGGGGAAACAUGUGUACAGGUGACAAAGGUAAAGACAGAGCUUUCAGGG